This 497-nucleotide ribosomal RNA is filed under the name uncultured bacterium. RNAcentral's name for it is "partial 16S ribosomal RNA". It matches the Rfam family "Bacterial small subunit ribosomal RNA", at positions 28 to 507 of the family's 1533-position model. The record is from RNAcentral.
GAUGAACGCUGGCGGCGUGCCUAAUACGUGCAAGUCGAGCGAACGGACGAGAAGCUUGCUUCUCUGAUGUUAGCGGCGGACGGGUGAGUAACACGUGGAUAACCUACCUAUAAGACUGGGAUAACUUCGGGAAACCGGAGCUAAUACCGGAUGAUAUUUUGAACCGCAUGGUUCAAUAGUGAAAGACGGUCUUGCUGUCACUUAUAGAUGGAUCCGCGCUGCAUUAGCUAGUUGGUAAGUUAACGGCUUACCAAGGCAACGCUGCAUAGCCGACCUGAGAGGGUGAUAGGCCACACUGGAACUGAGACACGGUCCAGACUCCUACGGGAGGCAGCAGUAGGGAAUCUUCCGCAAUGGGCGAAAGCCUGACGGAGCAACGCCGCGUGAGUGAUGAAGGUCUUCGGAUCGUAAAACUCUGUUAUUAGGGAAGAACAUAUGUGUAAGUAACUGUGCACAUCUUGACGGUACCUAAUCAGAAAGCCACGGCUAACUACGUG